GGGUUGAUAGCUUCGAGAGCAACCUGGGCAACCUAGGGAGACCCCAUCUCUAUAAAAAAUUUAAAAAUUAGCUGGACAUGGUCAUUCGCAGCCGGUCACACACUGACCCUGCGGGUGCCCGCCGCAAGGUCCCAGCCGGCAGCGGCCUUCGUGGCGGCCGAGUUCCCUGGGGCGGAGCUGCGCGAGGCACAUGGAGGCCGCCUGCGCUUCCAGCUGCCGCCGGGAGGGCGCUGCGCCCUGGCGCGCGUCUUUGGAGAGCUGGCGGUGCACGGCGCAGAGCACGGCGUGGAGGACUUUUCCGUGAGCCAGACGAUGCUGGAGGAGGUAUUCUUGUACUUCUCCAAGGACCAGGGUAAGGACGAGGACACCGAAGAGCAGAAGGA
RNAcentral lists this small RNA (383 nucleotides) under Pan troglodytes (chimpanzee). RNAcentral's name for it is "processed transcript". Lineage: Eukaryota; Metazoa; Chordata; Mammalia; Primates; Hominidae. The record is from RNAcentral.